RNAcentral lists this ribosomal RNA (143 nucleotides) under uncultured Anoxybacillus sp. RNAcentral's name for it is "partial 16S ribosomal RNA". It matches the Rfam family "Bacterial small subunit ribosomal RNA", at positions 1241 to 1382 of the family's 1533-position model. The record is from RNAcentral. Lineage: Bacteria; Bacillati; Bacillota; Bacilli; Caryophanales; Anoxybacillaceae.
AAAGGGUCGCGAACCCGCGAGGGGGAGCCAAUCCCAAAAAGCCGACUCUCAGUUCGGAUUGCAGGCUGCAACUCGCCUGCAUGAAGCCGGAAUCGCUAGUAAUCGCGGAUCAGCAUGCCGCGGUGAAUACGUUCCCGGGCCUU